Molecule: ribosomal RNA, 207 nt
Filed under: uncultured bacterium
Lineage: Bacteria
Description: partial 16S ribosomal RNA
Rfam family: Bacterial small subunit ribosomal RNA
Source: RNAcentral
CGCGUAGGUGGUUCGUUAAGUUGGAUGUGAAAUCCCCGGGCUCAACCUGGGAACUGCAUUCAAAACUGACGAGCUAGAGUAUGGUAGAGGGUGGUGGAAUUUCCUGUGUAGCGGUGAAAUGCGUAGAUAUAGGAAGGAACACCAGUGGCGAAGGCGACCACCUGGACUGAUACUGACACUGAGGUGCGAAAGCGUGGGGAGCAAACA